GAGGAUAUGGCUCAGGGGUAGAGCACAUGCUUAGCAUGCACAAGGUCCUGGGUUCAAUCCCCAGUACCUCCA
RNAcentral lists this transfer RNA (72 nucleotides) under Camelus bactrianus (Bactrian camel). It matches the Rfam family "tRNA". Rfam says of the family: Transfer RNA (tRNA) molecules are approximately 80 nucleotides in length. Their secondary structure includes four short double-helical elements and three loops (D, anti-codon, and T loops). Further hydrogen bonds mediate the characteristic L-shaped molecular structure. tRNAs have two regions of fundamental functional importance: the anti-codon, which is responsible for specific mRNA codon recognition, and the 3' end, to which the tRNAs corresponding amino acid is attached (by aminoacyl-tRNA synthetases). tRNAs cope with the degeneracy of the genetic code in two manners: having more than one tRNA (with a specific anti-codon) for a particular amino acid; and 'wobble' base-pairing, i.e. permitting non-standard base-pairing at the 3rd anti-codon position. The record is from Rfam by way of RNAcentral. RNAcentral also lists the same sequence under 1 other name. Lineage: Eukaryota; Metazoa; Chordata; Mammalia; Artiodactyla; Camelidae.